This 253-nucleotide ribosomal RNA is filed under the name uncultured bacterium. Its description in RNAcentral is "partial 16S ribosomal RNA". It matches the Rfam family "Bacterial small subunit ribosomal RNA", at positions 524 to 776 of the family's 1533-position model. The record is from RNAcentral.
UACGUAGGUGGCGAGCGUUGUCCGGAUUUAUUGGGUUUAAAGGGUGCGUAGGCGGCUUUGUAAGUCAGUGGUGAAAUACUCCAGCUUAGCUGGAGGGGUGCCAUUGAUACUGCGGAGCUUGAGUACAGAUGAGGUAGGCGGAAUUGACGGUGUAGCGGUGAAAUGCAUAGAUAUCGUCAAGAACACCGAUAGCGAAGGCAGCUUACUGGGCUGUAACUGACGCUGAUGCACGAAAGUGUGGGGAUCAAACAGG